AUGUUCAUCUUGCUUCUUGAACGCGAUUGCCACUACCCGCUACGUUCAACUCGUUGCUGGUAUAUAUCGCCUUGUACAGGUUCAUCGCAAUGUUUGUCAGUCAUUUCUGUGAACACCAACUGUUCAUACCAAUGUCUCUUCGCACCAAGUAUAAGUUGUUUUCAUUGCCAUCUCCAAACAGUGGUUCUUUUUCAUAUCAGUUUUGGUCUCUUAGACUCUUACUACAACCAACUGGUCUCCUCUAGUCUUUUAGAAUUUAAUGAAGCUCCCCUUUGUCACCACAUUUUACAGGAAGCUAAAAUUUCUCAACUUGGGACAACCUGGUACACUGAAUGUUCCGAAGUGGAUUUGCAAGCUGCGGGGUCCCUUUCCGAGGCAGGACGGCAGGACACCGUUUGCGCCUGA
RNAcentral lists this ribosomal RNA (405 nucleotides) under Triticum aestivum (bread wheat). RNAcentral's name for it is "partial small subunit ribosomal RNA". Lineage: Eukaryota; Viridiplantae; Streptophyta; Magnoliopsida; Poales; Poaceae. The record is from RNAcentral.